RNAcentral lists this transfer-messenger RNA (353 nucleotides) under Coxiellaceae bacterium. It matches the Rfam family "transfer-messenger RNA". Rfam says of the family: Bacterial tmRNA, also known as 10Sa RNA or SsrA, is named for its dual tRNA and mRNA-like properties. Its role is to liberate the mRNA from a stalled ribosome. To accomplish this part of the tmRNA is used as a reading frame that ends in a translation stop signal. Lineage: Bacteria; Pseudomonadati; Pseudomonadota; Gammaproteobacteria; Legionellales; Coxiellaceae. The record is from RNAcentral.
GGGGGCGAAUGGAUUCGACGUGAAUUGUAAGGUUCUAGAUGCGUGUCGAGAAUAUAGUCUUACUCGUAAAUAUGGCUAUAAACAAAAUAAACGCCAAUGAUAAAUUUGCGUUAGCGGUUGCUUAAAAACCAACUGAUCCGUAAUCAAGAUGUUCUUAUGCGUCUUGUCUUGCGGUCAUUUACAUAAGACGAUAUUAGUGAUGUGUUUGGCAUUACUUUUAUUGAUAUAAUCAAACUAGUUGGUUGUUGUUUUGUUCAUCAAUUAACAACUAAUGAAACUAAAGAUGAACUACACACGUAGUAUCGAAAAUUGAUGAUUUGCGGACGCGGGUUCAAUACCCGCCGCCUCCACCA